This is a non-coding RNA of Vicia faba (fava bean), 237 nucleotides long. The record is from the annotation of a GenBank genome assembly. Lineage: Eukaryota; Viridiplantae; Streptophyta; Magnoliopsida; Fabales; Fabaceae.
AUGUGGGAGUUGAAUGAAAAACAAAACCACAAUUUGCUUGUUUCUAUUAUUUCUCGAGUCAUUUCAGUUUUAAAAACUCAUGAUAAUCAAAGCGGUGGCACUUUGGAGGAUAGGAUAAUGCACAAAUGCAAUUGUUGCAAGCUGCGUGACAAAUUUUGCCAUCUUCUAAUUUCUGCUAUUUUCUGCAAUCUUGGUGGAGCAUCAUUAAUUAGAGCAAUGGUUUCAAAGGAGGUAUAG